AGCGCUGAAAGCAUCUAAGCGCGAAGCUGGCCCCGAGAUGAGUCAUCCCUAGAGCUUCGAGCUCUCUAAAGGGUUGUUCUAGACGAGAACGUUGAUAGGCAGGGUGUGUAAGCGCUGUGAGGCGUUGAGCUAACCUGUACUAAUGGCCCGUGAGGCUUAACCAUACAACACCCAAGRGGUU
RNAcentral lists this ribosomal RNA (181 nucleotides) under Salinivibrio kushneri. RNAcentral describes it as "partial 23S ribosomal RNA". It matches the Rfam family "Bacterial large subunit ribosomal RNA", at positions 2767 to 2925 of the family's 2925-position model. The record is from RNAcentral. Lineage: Bacteria; Pseudomonadati; Pseudomonadota; Gammaproteobacteria; Vibrionales; Vibrionaceae.